GUUUAAUUCGAAGCAACGCGAAGAACCUUACCAGGUCUUGACAUCCCGAUGCUAUUCCUAGAGAUAGGAAGUUUCUUCGGAACAUCGGUGACAGGUGGUGCAUGGUUGUCGUCAGCUCGUGUCGUGAGAUGUUGGGUUAAGUCCCGCAACGAGCGCAACCCCUAUUGUUAGUUGCCAUCAUUAAGUUGGGCACUCUAGCGAGACUGCCGGUAAUAAACCGGAGGAAGGUGGGGAUGACGUCAAAUCAUCAUGCCCCUUAUGACCUGGGCUACACACGUGCUACAAUGGUUGGUACAACGAGUCGCGAGUCGGUGACGGCAAGCAAAUCUCUUAAAGCCAAUCUCAGUUCGGAUUGUAGGCUGCAACUCGCCUACAUGAAGUCGGAAUCGCUAGUAAUCGCGGAUCAGCACGCCGCGGUGAAUACGUUCCCGGGCCUUGUACACACCGCCCGUCACACCACGAGAGUUUGUAACACCCGAAGUCGGUGAGGUAACCUUUUGGAGCCAGCCGCCUAAGGUGGGAUAGAUGAUUGGGGUGAAGUCGUAACAAGGUAGCCGUAUCGGAAGGUGCGGCUGGAUCACCUCCUUUCU
Molecule: ribosomal RNA, 590 nt
Filed under: Streptococcus equinus
Lineage: Bacteria; Bacillati; Bacillota; Bacilli; Lactobacillales; Streptococcaceae
Description: bacterial SSU rRNA
Rfam family: Bacterial small subunit ribosomal RNA
Source: RNAcentral